This 21-nucleotide non-coding RNA is filed under the name Caenorhabditis elegans. Lineage: Eukaryota; Metazoa; Nematoda; Chromadorea; Rhabditida; Rhabditidae. The record is from RNAcentral.
UUAUUAUGUGAGAGUUUGCGA